Molecule: ribosomal RNA, 253 nt
Filed under: uncultured bacterium
Lineage: Bacteria
Description: partial 16S ribosomal RNA
Rfam family: Bacterial small subunit ribosomal RNA
Source: RNAcentral
UACAGAGGGUGCGAGCGUUGUCCGGAAUCACUGGGCGUAAAGGGCGCGUAGGCGGCCCCGUAAGUCAGUGCUGAAAUAUCCCGGCUUAACCGGGAGGGUGGCAUUGAUACUGCAGGGCUUGAGUAAAGUUGAGGUAGGCGGAAUUGACGGUGUAGCGGUGAAAUGCUUAGAUAUCGUCAAGAACACCGAUAGUGUAGACAGCUUACUAAGCUUUAACUGACGCUGAGGCACGAAAGUGUGGGGAUCAAACAGG